This 250-nucleotide long non-coding RNA is filed under the name Capsicum annuum. RNAcentral describes it as "long non-coding RNA (CANN_LNC002816)". Lineage: Eukaryota; Viridiplantae; Streptophyta; Magnoliopsida; Solanales; Solanaceae. The record is from RNAcentral.
CGGGGUGUGUCCCGACCUUAGUUAAACUCUGUGUAUUGUCUAGAGGCUUUGUAGACCUAAUGUACAGUCAAGGUGGUAUUUUGUUAAUAGACAUGAUGGCUCCAACGGCCAAGUAUUAUAUAUACAUAUAUAUGUGUGCUCGAGCUUAUAGAGGUGAUUAUUUCCUUUUAUAUGCGAUAUGAUGCUAUCUGAAUUUUGGGUUGUCAUAAAGGUAUGCAUGGGAAGUAUAAGGUUAUGAGCUGGUUCCCUC